AUUGAACGCUGGCGGAAUGCUUUACACAUGCAAGUCGAACGGUAGAGGGGGCAACCCCUCGAGAGUGGCGAACGGGUGAGUAAUAUAUCGGAACGUGCCCAGUCGUGGGGGAUAACGUAGCGAAAGUUACGCUAAUACCGCAUACGAUCUACGGAUGAAAGCGGGGGAUCGCAAGACCUCGCGCGAUUCGCGGGGCCGAUAGCAGAUUAGGUAGUUGGUGGGGUAAAGGCUGACCAAGCCAACCAUCGGUAGCUGGUCUGAGAGGACUACCAGGUACACUGGAACUGAGACACGGUCCAGACUCCUACGGGAGGCAGCAGUGGGGAAUUUUGGACAAUGGACGCAAGUCUGAUCCAGCCAUUCCGCGUGCAGGAUGAAGGCCCUCGGGUUGUAAACUGCUUUUGUACGGAACGAAAAGGCCUCUCUUAAUACGGGGGGCUCAUGACGGUACCGUAAGAAUAAGCACCGGCUAACUACGUGCCAGCCGCCGCAGUAA
This 496-nucleotide ribosomal RNA is filed under the name uncultured bacterium. RNAcentral describes it as "partial 16S ribosomal RNA". It matches the Rfam family "Bacterial small subunit ribosomal RNA", at positions 30 to 523 of the family's 1533-position model. The record is from RNAcentral.